AUUCUAUGGGUAAUACAUGCGCAAAUAUCCUAGUUUUCUUCUUGAGGAGAGGAUAGUGUUUAUUAGAUACAGAACCAAUACACCAUUCUUUUAGGAUGGUGUAAAAAAGGUGAUUCAUAGUAACCGAACGGAUCSCAUUAUAGUCAUUUUGUAUGGCUGGCGAUAGAUCAUUCAAGUUUCUGACCUAUCAGCUUUCGACGGUAGUGUAUUGGACUACCGUGGCAGUGACGGGUAACGGGGAAUUAGGGUUCGAUUCCGGAGAGGGAGCCUGAGAAACGGCUACCACAUCUAAGGAAGGCAGCAGGCGCGCAAAUUACCCAAUCCUGACUCAGGGAGGUAGUGACAAGAAAUAACAACACUGGAAAUUUUAUUUCUAGUGAUUGGAAUGAUGGGAAUUUAAACCCCUUUCAGAGUAACAAUUGGAGGGCAAGUCUGGUGCCAGCAGCCGCGGUAAUUCCAGCUCCAAUAGCGUAUAUUAAAUUUUUUGCAGUUAAAAAGCUCGUAGUUGGAUGUCUGCUGGAAGCAAUCAGUCCGCCCUAUUUGUAGGGUGUGCACUUGAUGAAUUCUGGCAUCUAUGUCCCGAUAAAGAAACGGGCGUUUAGCUGUCGGGRGARNAGCUNGAGAGCUUCGMGUCCGUUUAUUGGGAUAAUACUGUUACUUUGAGAAAAUUAGAGUGUUUGAAGCAGGCUAAUUGCCUUGAAUACUGCAGCAUGGAAUAACAAUAUAGGAUUUCGGUUCUAUUUUGUUGGUUUCUAGGACUGAAAUAAUGAUUAAUAGGGACAGUUGGGGGCAUUCGUAUUUAACUGUCAGAGGUGAAAUUCUUAGAUUUGUUAAAGACGAACUACUGCGAAAGCAUUUGCCAAAGAUGUUUUCAUUAAUCAAGAACGAAAGUUAGGGGCUCGAAGACGAUCAGAUACCGUCGUAGUCUUAACCAUAAACUAUGCCGACUAGAGAUAGGAAAAUGUCAUUUUGCUGACUUCUCCUGCACCUUAUGAGAAAUCAAAGUCUUUGGGUUCUGGG
This 1020-nucleotide ribosomal RNA is filed under the name Sarcocystis wapiti. RNAcentral's name for it is "SSU rRNA". It matches the Rfam family "Eukaryotic small subunit ribosomal RNA", at positions 156 to 1129 of the family's 1831-position model. The record is from RNAcentral. Lineage: Eukaryota; Apicomplexa; Conoidasida; Eucoccidiorida; Sarcocystidae.